GGGGGUGUACUUGGCUUUCGACGGGGUUCAUUGAGGACGGAUAAGCAGGCGGCAGACCCCGGAUCUGCCUUAAAAGCUGGGAAUUAAAAUUAAACGCUAAUAACAAUUACGAAUUAGCUGCUGCGUAACGCAGCGCCGUCACGCCCGGAAUCUCCCGAUGUUCCGGUGCCUGGCGUCAAUUUAAUCGGGGAACCGCUUUAUUUUCGGCCUUUGGAAUAAAGAGAGGACAAAGAAGGCUGCCCGGAGCGAAUCCAGCAAAAGAGGAGUCGCCGAGGAAAGAUCAAAAUCUUUUGCUAAGCUUGUAGAAAGUUCGUUGGCAGGGAUUUCGGACAGGGGUUCAACUCCCCUCAUCUCCACCA
RNAcentral lists this transfer-messenger RNA (359 nucleotides) under Christensenellaceae. RNAcentral's name for it is "SIG371 sp015056045 Standard tmRNA". It matches the Rfam family "transfer-messenger RNA". From Rfam's summary of the family: Bacterial tmRNA, also known as 10Sa RNA or SsrA, is named for its dual tRNA and mRNA-like properties. The record is from RNAcentral. RNAcentral also lists the same sequence under 1 other name. Lineage: Bacteria; Bacillati; Bacillota; Clostridia; Christensenellales.